UGGGGAAUUUUGGGCAAUGGGCGAAAGCCUGACCCAGCAACGCCGCGUGAAGGAUGAAGUAUUUCGGUAUGUAAACUUCGAAAGAAUAGGAAGAAUAAAUGACGGUACUAUUUAUAAGGUCCGGCUAACUACGUGCCAGCAGCCGCGGUAAUACGUAGGGACCAAGCGUUGUUCGGAUUUACUGGGCGUAAAGGGCGCGUAGGCGGCAAUUCAAGUCAUCUGUGAAAUCUCCGGGCUUAACUCGGAACGGUCAGAUGAUACUGCCUUGCUAGAGUGCAGAAGGGGCAAUCGGAAUUCUUGGUGUAGCGGUGAAAUGCGUAGAUAUCAAGAGGAACACCUGAGGUGAAGACGGGUUGCUGGGCUGACACUGACGCUGAGGCGCGAAAGCCAGGGGAGCAAACGGGAUUAGAUACCCAGGUAGUCCCUGAGCGGGCUGGCAAGGCGCAU
This 447-nucleotide ribosomal RNA is filed under the name uncultured bacterium. Its description in RNAcentral is "bacterial SSU rRNA". It matches the Rfam family "Bacterial small subunit ribosomal RNA", at positions 355 to 825 of the family's 1533-position model. The record is from RNAcentral.